This 509-nucleotide ribosomal RNA is filed under the name uncultured glomeraceous AM fungus. RNAcentral's name for it is "SSU rRNA". It matches the Rfam family "Eukaryotic small subunit ribosomal RNA", at positions 569 to 1078 of the family's 1831-position model. Lineage: Eukaryota; Fungi; Glomeromycota; Glomeromycetes; Glomerales; Glomeraceae. The record is from RNAcentral.
AGCAGCCGCGGUAAUCCCAGCUCCAAUAGCGUAUAUUAAAGUUGUUGCAGUUAAAAAGCUCGUAGUUGAAUUUCGGGAUCAAUGUUUCGGUCAUGCCCUUGGUAUGUACUGAUAUUAUUGGUUUCUCACCUUCUAAAGAACCGUAAUGCCAUUAAUUUGGUGUCACGGGGAAUUAGGACUGUUACCUUGAAAAAAUUAGAGUGUUUAAAGCAGGCUCACGCUUGAAUACAUUAGCAUGGAAUAAUGAAAUAGGACAUCCGAUUCUAUUUUGUUGGUUUCUAGGAUCGAUGUAAUGAUUAAUAGGGAUAGUUGGGGGCAUUAGUAUUCAAUUGUCAGAGGUGAAAUUCUUGGAUUUAUUGAAGACUAACUACUGCGAAAGCAUUUGCCAAGGAUGUUUUCAUUAAUCAAGAACGAAAGUUAGGGGAUCGAAGACGAUCAGAUACCGUCGUAGUCUUAACCAUAAACAAUGCCGACUAGGGAUCGGAUGAUGUUAAUUUUUUAAUGUCUCA